This 375-nucleotide ribosomal RNA is filed under the name uncultured organism. RNAcentral describes it as "partial 16S ribosomal RNA". It matches the Rfam family "Bacterial small subunit ribosomal RNA", at positions 527 to 896 of the family's 1533-position model. The record is from RNAcentral.
GUAGGGUGCAAGCGUUAUCCGGAAUCAUUGGGCGUAAAGAGCUCGUAGGCGGUUCAGCAAGUCGGCUGUGAAAUCCCGGGGCUUAACCUCGGGACUGCAGUCGAUACUGCUGUGACUAGAGUCCGGUAGAGGAGAAUGGAAUUCCCGGUGUAGCGGUGAAAUGCGCAGAUAUCGGGAGGAACACCAGUAGCGAAGGCGGUUCUCUGGGCCGGUACUGACGCUGAGGAGCGAAAGCGUGGGUAGCAAACAGGAUUAGAUACCCUGGUAGUCCACGCCGUAAACGUUGGACACUAGGUGUGGCGUUCCGACCAACGGGUGCCCGUGCCGAAGCUAACGCAUUAAGUGUCCCGCCUGGGGAGUACGGCCGCAAGGCUA